CGGCUGACCAGGUCACGUCACGGUAUGAAUAAUGAAAGUGCCGGGCUGUAGUCUUUGCAUGCAACUCGAUGACCCGCUCAAGGUGUACACGGCAGCCACGUGUAAUGGUUCAUAAAAAAAAAAUCCAUCAAGGAUUUAACAUGAUCCCACCCCCACCGCCUCAUACCACCCCUCUUCCUCCGAACCAUUCAGUGUUAGUCGUGAAACAGAAACCCCUGCAAACUCCUCAGAGAAGAACACCAGAACGGUGCUUGGGCUUAUUGGAGGGACAUCAUACAGGCAUUUGAAAAGCCUUUUCAGCCAGGGCCUGGUGCAUGGAGAGGAACGUGGUGGUAUCUGUCAGGAGGCUGAUGUGUUGAUGUGUUAUGCAUUUUGAGCUGUAUGGGUUAUGGCCCUCUGAUGUGCUGGCUUCAUGUCUUUGUGGCACUGGAGCUGUGAAGGAUGAAAUGAGAUGGAGGAGAGGGUGGGGGGGGGGCACAAACA
Long non-coding RNA from Alosa alosa (allis shad), 483 nucleotides. RefSeq lists it as uncharacterized. The record is from RefSeq and is a predicted model, not a curated record. The transcript has 3 exons. Lineage: Eukaryota; Metazoa; Chordata; Actinopteri; Clupeiformes; Clupeidae.